Molecule: ribosomal RNA, 657 nt
Filed under: uncultured Russulaceae
Lineage: Eukaryota; Fungi; Basidiomycota; Agaricomycetes; Russulales; Russulaceae
Description: eukaryotic LSU rRNA
Rfam family: Eukaryotic large subunit ribosomal RNA
Source: RNAcentral
CCCGCUGAACUUAAGCAUAUCAAUAAGCGGACGGAGAAGAACUACAGGAUUCCCCUAGUAACUGCGAGUGAAGCGGGAAAAGCUCAAAUUUAAAAUCUGGUGGUCUUUGGCCAUCCGAGUUGUAAUUUAGAGAAGCGUUUUCCGCGCUGGACCCAUGCACAAGUCUCCUGGAAUGGAGCGUCAUAGAGGGUGAGAAUCCCGUCUUUGGCAUGGACAGACCAGGGCUUUUGUGAUGCGCUCUCGAAGAGUCGAGUUGUUUGGGAAUGCAGCUCAAAAUGGGUGGUGAACUCCAUCUAAAGCUAAAUAUUGGCGAGAGACCGAUAGCGAACAAGUACCGUGAGGGAAAGAUGAAAAGCACUUUGGAAAGAGAGUGAAACAGUACGUGAAAUUGUUGAAAGGGAAACGCUUAAAGUCAGUCGCGUUGUACAAGACUCAGCCUUGCCCUUGGCUUGGUGUAUUUCUUGGGCAACGGGUCAACAUCAAUUUUGCCCCUUGGAUAAUGGUGAGGGAAAUGUGGCACCUUUUAGGUGUGUUAUAGUCUCUUGUCACAUGCAAGGGUUAGGAUUGAGGAACUCAGCAUGCACCUUUGGGUGUCGGGGCUUUUGUCCACGAUUACAUGCUUAGGAUGUUGGCGUAAUGGCUUUAAACGACCCGUCU